Non-coding RNA from Pteropus alecto (black flying fox), 73 nucleotides. Lineage: Eukaryota; Metazoa; Chordata; Mammalia; Chiroptera; Pteropodidae. The record is from Rfam.
GGCUCCAUAGCGUAGCGGUUAGCACGUCUGCUUUACACGCAGAAGGUCCUGGGUUCGUGCCUCAGUGGAGCCA